RNAcentral lists this ribosomal RNA (106 nucleotides) under Pseudomonas sp. URIL14HWK12:I8. RNAcentral describes it as "16S rRNA. Bacterial SSU". It matches the Rfam family "Bacterial small subunit ribosomal RNA", at positions 19 to 123 of the family's 1533-position model. Lineage: Bacteria; Pseudomonadati; Pseudomonadota; Gammaproteobacteria; Pseudomonadales; Pseudomonadaceae. The record is from RNAcentral.
AUGGCUCAGAUUGAACGCUGGCGGCAGGCCUAACACAUGCAAGUCGAGCGGAUGACGGGAGCUUGCUCCUUGAUUCAGCGGCGGACGGGUGAGUAAUGCCUAGGAA